AUGCAAGUCGAGCGGAACCCUUCGGGGUUCAGCGGCGGACGGGUGAGUAACACGUGGAUAACCUACCCUCUGUUCCGGGAUAACAGGCCGAAAGGCCUGCUAAUACGGGAUAAGCUCACGGCCCUGCAUGGGGCUGGGAGAAAAGGUGCUGCAAGGCAGUGACAGAGGAGGGGUCCGCGUCCCAUUAGCUAGUUGGGGGGGUAACGGCCCACCAAGGCGACGAUGGGUAGCCGGCCUGAGAGGGCGACCGGCCACACUGGGACUGAGACACGGCCCAGACUCCUACGGGAGGCAGCAGUCGGGAAUUUUGCACAAUGGCCGAAAGGCUGAUGCAGCAACGCCGCGUGAGUGAAGAAGGCCUUCGGGUUGUAAAGCUCUGUUGCCCGUGAAGAACGGCUUGGGGAGGAAAUGCCCUGGGUUUGACGGUAGCGGGAGAGGAAGCCCCGGCAAACUACGUGCCAGCAGCCGCGGUAAUACGUAGGGGGCGAGCGUUGUCCGGAUUUAUUGGGCGUAAAGGGCGUGUAGGCGGCCUGAUAAGUCAGGGGUGAAACCCCGGGGCUCAACCCCGGGCAUGCCUCUGAUACUGUUGGGCUUGAGUGCUCUAGAGGGUAGUGGAAUUCCCGGUGUAGCAGUGAAAUGCGUAGAGAUCGGGAGGAACACCAGUGGCGAAGGCGACUGCCUGGGGAGUAACUGACGCUGAGGCGCGAAAGCUAGGGGAGCGAACAGGAUUAGAUACCCUGGUAGUCCUAGCCGUAAACGAUGAGUGCUAUGUGUGAGGGGUAUCGACCCCCCUCGUGCAGCAGUUAACGCAAUAAGCACUCCGCCUGGG
This 829-nucleotide ribosomal RNA is filed under the name uncultured Bacillota bacterium. RNAcentral describes it as "bacterial SSU rRNA". It matches the Rfam family "Bacterial small subunit ribosomal RNA", at positions 55 to 877 of the family's 1533-position model. Lineage: Bacteria; Bacillati; Bacillota. The record is from RNAcentral.